RNAcentral lists this long non-coding RNA (301 nucleotides) under Olea europaea (common olive). RNAcentral's name for it is "long non-coding RNA (OEUR_LNC001390)". The record is from RNAcentral. Lineage: Eukaryota; Viridiplantae; Streptophyta; Magnoliopsida; Lamiales; Oleaceae.
UUGCAUUGUUGUCAAGUGUCAAUCCGAUGCGAAAAAUGUUUGAAAAACUAAACUGUCUGACAGGGUAGUGUCACGUUCCAAAGUGUAAACUAAAGUGUACUCCAUAGUUUACAUAUCGCAAGGUUCUUACCGAUUGAACUUUGCUAUUUGUACACUGAUUUUUGACACGUUCAUUUACAAUUGCAUUGUUGUCAACUGUCAAUUGGAUGGAAAAACUGUUUGAAAUUUAAAUUGUCUAAUAGGGUAAUGUUACGUAGCAAAGUGUAAACUAAAGUAUACACCAUAACGUAUAUAUAGCAAG